This 76-nucleotide transfer RNA is filed under the name compost metagenome. RNAcentral describes it as "tRNA-Gln". It matches the Rfam family "tRNA". From Rfam's summary of the family: Transfer RNA (tRNA) molecules are approximately 80 nucleotides in length. Their secondary structure includes four short double-helical elements and three loops (D, anti-codon, and T loops). The record is from RNAcentral.
UGCGGGGUAGUUUCUGCUGGUAGAAAUGCGUGGCUUUGAACCACGCGUCCGCAGGUUCGAUUCCUGCCCCCGCAAC